UUUUGGCUGAUUGUUGCCUUUCUUGCAUUUGAGCUUGGUUGGUGGCGAUUAGUUAGAUGGUUUCGGGGAUGUCUACCGUAAAGGUGCAUGAGUGGUGUUUGGUUUGUUACGGGUGGUUGGCUCUUUGCUUGCGCAACAACUUCCACCUGGCAUACCUCUUCAGUUUUGUGUCAAUGCUUGUAUCGCAUUGAAUGCAUGGUGGGUUUCUUGUGUUGCAUGCCUUAUUGAUGGUAUCGUUUGACGGAACAAUUAAUAUUUCGUCUUGUGUUGCACAUGCGAUGUGGGAUGGACCUUAAAGCAGCCUUAUUGAUCCACUCUUUUGAUGCAAACGCAUUAAUUUUGUGGUUCAUUGAGUGUUUGCUUGGUCUCAUGGAUAUGGAACCUUGUGUGGGCAUGUGAUCUUUUAUUAGAUCCAUGUUUGCCCUAGUUAAGCUUUUCAAAUACUAUUUCCUAUCAUGUUCUAAUGUGGUAGGCAAUAUCGAUAUGAAUG
This 490-nucleotide unclassified non-coding RNA is filed under the name Ammobium craspedioides. Its description in RNAcentral is "partial external transcribed spacer". Lineage: Eukaryota; Viridiplantae; Streptophyta; Magnoliopsida; Asterales; Asteraceae. The record is from RNAcentral.